AACGAACGCUGGCGGCAUGCCUAACACAUGCAAGUCGAACGAGACCUUCGGGUCUAGUGGCGCACGGGUGCGUAACGCGUGGGAACCUGCCCUUAGGUUCGGAAUAACUCCCCGAAAGGGGUGCUAAUACCGGAUAAUGUCUUCGGACCAAAGAUUUAUCGCCUUUGGAUGGGCCCGCGUUGGAUUAGCUAGUUGGUAGGGUAAAAGCCUACCAAGGCGACGAUCCAUAGCUGGUCUGAGAGGAUGAUCAGCCACACUGGGACUGAGACACGGCCCAGACUCCUACGGGAGGCAGCAGUGGGGAAUAUUGGACAAUGGGCGAUAGCCUGAUCCAGCGAUGCCGCGUGAGUGAUGAAGGCCUUAGGGUUGUAACGCUCUUUUACCCGGGAUGAUAAUGACAGUACCGAGAGAAUAAGCUCCGGCUAACUCCG
Molecule: ribosomal RNA, 431 nt
Filed under: uncultured bacterium
Lineage: Bacteria
Description: partial 16S ribosomal RNA
Rfam family: Bacterial small subunit ribosomal RNA
Source: RNAcentral